This 371-nucleotide ribosomal RNA is filed under the name uncultured bacterium. RNAcentral's name for it is "bacterial SSU rRNA". It matches the Rfam family "Bacterial small subunit ribosomal RNA", at positions 527 to 896 of the family's 1533-position model. The record is from RNAcentral.
GUAGGCGGCAAGCGUUGUCCGGAUUUAUUGGGCGUAAAGCGAACGCAGGCGGGAGAAUAAGUCAGCUGUGAAAGCCCUCAGCUUAACCGGGGAACUGCAGCUGAAACUAUUUUUCUUGAGUGCAGAAGAGGAGAGUGGAACUCCAUGUGUAGCGGUGGAAUGCGUAGAUAUAUGGAAGAACACCAGUGGCGAAGGCUGCUCUCUGGUCUGUAACUGACGCUGAGGUUCGAAAGCAUGGGUAGCGAACAGGAUUAGAUACCCUGGUAGUCCAUGCCGUAAACGAUGAGUGCUAAGUGCUGGGAGGUUUCCGCCUCUCAGUGCUGCAGCUAACGCAUUAAGCACUCCGCCUGGGGAGUACGACCGCAAGGUUA